Molecule: non-coding RNA, 1129 nt
Organism: Callithrix jacchus (white-tufted-ear marmoset)
Lineage: Eukaryota; Metazoa; Chordata; Mammalia; Primates; Cebidae
Source: RefSeq, a predicted model, not a curated record
ACAGGUCACCAAAAAAGCUUCCAGGGAUUUCUCAGACCAAAACCAUGACCCAGCCAGGGCCUUAUAUAGGCCUGUCUGUUAUGACAUCACAAAGGCUUUUCAUGAGCUCAGAGCAAAGCAGGGCCAAUCAUGGCUGGGGAUCUUUCACAGAGGUUUUCUCUCUUUUGGUCCCCAAAACAUCUUCCUCUUUUAAAAAGGUUUUUCCUUCCUCAUGUGGUUGAGAUUAUGUAAUGGACAGAGAAUAAACAGACAUACCCUACCCUCCAUGAGCCCAUAGCCUCUUCAGGAAGGCCCCCCCAGACAUGAAGCUCCUUCAGCGUGAGAAGCACCAGCAUGACCCUCCAGUGCCUUCAUCGGUCUCCACAGAGCUCAUCCUGGUAGAGGAUGUGAGGGUGAGCCUGGAAGAGGUGACCAUCUAGGACCAUCUUGGCUUCCAGAUACAGCCCAUGCCCUGCCAGCUGCCUGGGUAAGACCCACCAGGGGACCCCCUCACUCUCCAAGACACAGCCCAACUCUCCCUGAAUCUGCCUCCUGCCAGUGGAGCUCCACUUCAGGAAAGACUCAGGUGACUUCGUCCUCAAUACCAGUGCUGUGGAUGACAUCAAGAUGGCCUACCAGGAAACCAGGGCCAUCACCAUGAGAUAGGGUCUCACAAUGUUUCCCAGCUGGUCUCGAACUCCUGGGCUCAAGGGAUCCACCCGCCCUGGCCUCGCAAAGUGCUGGCAUUACCGGUGUGACCCUCCGCACCCAGGUUACCUUUAUGAUUUUCAUUCCAUGUCCACAAACUACCCACACUGUUACCUAAUGGUUUCCUUUCUGUCAAUCUUUCCAUUAAAAUAAAAAUAUUAAAGAGGUUGCACCUUUCUCUGUUUCCCCAGGUUGAUUUCUUGACCCUCUCCCUAUUCUUGCAAGUGUUGACUUAUCUGUGCUCGUGGCAUGGAAGAAUUUAGUGUUCUGCUUUCCAAUAUCUUAUUCUAGUCUCACUUUUUCUAUUUCCCCAUGUUGACAGGGAGGCUGGCUGAUUAUUUUUAUGUCUUCAUUUGUACUUUUGCCGUUCUUUUCUAAUCAGAGUGUUUGGAUGGUCAAAAUGUUUUUGUUCUUUCAAAAAUAUAGGGAAGAAUAGAAUGAA